AUCGCGGGACACACGUCCCUGUGACUCGCCCCUGCCCAGCCUUACAUCCACGCGUUGCAACUCUGGCAACCGUUCGGGCGACACAGGGGAGAAACCGGCGGGGGCACCCAGCUACACGACGAUCGGUAACGAUCCAGUUGCUCAAAGUUGCCUACGCCGGCUCUCGACACCCA
RNAcentral lists this small RNA (173 nucleotides) under Xanthomonas sp. 4461. RNAcentral describes it as "sRNA sX15". It matches the Rfam family "Xanthomonadaceae sRNA sX15". The record is from RNAcentral. Lineage: Bacteria; Pseudomonadati; Pseudomonadota; Gammaproteobacteria; Lysobacterales; Lysobacteraceae.